RNAcentral lists this ribosomal RNA (468 nucleotides) under uncultured bacterium. Its description in RNAcentral is "partial 16S ribosomal RNA". It matches the Rfam family "Bacterial small subunit ribosomal RNA", at positions 28 to 507 of the family's 1533-position model. The record is from RNAcentral.
GAUGAACGCUGGCGGCGUGCUUAACACAUGCCAGUCGAACGGUGAAGGCGGAGCUUGCUCUGCUGGAUCAGUGGCGAACGGGUGAGUAACACGUGAGCAAUCUACCCCUGACUCUGGGAUAAGCGCUGGAAACGGCGUCUAAUACUGGAUACGAGCUGCGAAGGCAUCUUCAGCAGCUGGAAAGAACUUCGGUCAGGGAUGAGCUCGCGGCCUAUCAGCUUGUUGGUGAGGUAACGGCUCACCAAGGCGUCGACGGGUAGCCGGCCUGAGAGGGUGACCGGCCACACUGGGACUGAGACACGGCCCAGACUCCUACGGGAGGCAGCAGUGGGGAAUAUUGCACAAUGGGCGAAAGCCUGAUGCAGCAACGCCGCGUGAGGGACGACGGCCUUCGGGUUGUAAACCUCUUUUAGCAGGGAAGAAGCGAAAGUGACGGUACCUGCAGAAAAAGCGCCGGCUAACUACGUG